Molecule: ribosomal RNA, 449 nt
Filed under: uncultured bacterium
Lineage: Bacteria
Description: bacterial SSU rRNA
Rfam family: Bacterial small subunit ribosomal RNA
Source: RNAcentral
AGAGUUUGAUCCUGGCUCAGAGUGAACGCUGGCGGCGUGCUUAACACAUGCAAGUCGAACGGUAACAGGAAAUAGCUUGCUAUUUUGCUGACGAGUGGCGCACGGGUGAGUAAACUAUAGUUAAUGUACCCCAAAGACUGGGAUAGCCACUGGAAACGGUGAUUAAUACUAGAUACACCUUCUUAUCACAAGGUAAGAAGGGAAAUGUCUUUUCGCUUUGGGAUCAGACUAUAUCCUAUCAGCUAGUUGGUGAGGUAAUGGCUCACCAAGGCAAUGACGGGUAGCGGUUCUGAGAGGAUGAUCCGCCACACUGGUACUGAGACACGGACCAGACUCCUACGGGAGGCAGCAGUGAGGAAUAUUGCACAAUGGGGGGAACCCUGAUGCAGCAACGCCGCGUGGAGGAUGACGCAUUUCGGUGUGUAAACUCCUUUUAUAUGUCAAGAAAA